Nycticebus coucang (slow loris) is the source of this 1021-nucleotide long non-coding RNA. RefSeq lists it as uncharacterized. The record is from RefSeq and is a predicted model, not a curated record. The transcript is spliced from 3 exons. Lineage: Eukaryota; Metazoa; Chordata; Mammalia; Primates; Lorisidae.
GCUCUCCCUACGCUUUCCUCCGGCUUCUCCCGCUCUCUCCUCCCGCUCCGCCUUUCCUUCCGCACCUCCCGCGGCCGGGCCCGCCUGGCCCCCGCGCGGUCUCGGGGCGGACGAGCCCUCCUGGGACCCUCCCUCCUGGCCGGCAGGUCAAGCCUUUCACCAACCCCUACGGAACUCAGGCCGAGUCCCUACAUCCGGCCCCACAACCCUUCCUCCCGCUGACCUGAGCAGAGACCCUGAAGGGACAGCAGGAAAACUGGACCCACCCGGCUGGGCGCAGGGCUUCGUCCCCCGCCAGGCUCUCGGCCGAGCGCAGGCGUCGUCUUUGUCCUAUUUCCGAUUAGAAUGGACUGUUGACACCAGCAGGCAUUCGAUAAAUACACAUCAACAACAGAAAAUACACGAGUAUUAGCAGCACAGGGCUAAAUAGAUGGGGAAGUAGAGAUGCUCCGUCUUCCGAAUUAAGCAGGAGCCCAUGUCUUGUAUGUUGUGCAGAUUGGCCUGGAACUCCUGACCUCAAACCAUCCUCUUGCCUCAGCCUCCCAAAGUGCUGGGAUUACAGGUGUAAACCGCCUUAGCAAGCAAGGAAGCAAUACGUUUAACCUUCUGCUCAAAUAAAAGUGAGAGAGCACAAAGAAGGAAAGAUUUCCACAUGAGUAAUUAUUUCAACCCACGAUGUCACAUCCCCAGUCUUCUGCCACAGCUGCCCUGCCUUGCUCCCGCUAUGGACUUGCUGAACCCUGGACCCUGCAGCUUCCUCACUGUCUGGCUGGCAGCUCCGUCCUUGGCCUGUGGCUACCUGCCAGCCUUCAUCACCCUCUUUCAGCUUCCUAAUUCAAAGUCCUCCUGUCCUGCUAUCAUCCAGGUUAUAGUAGAAAGUUUAUGUGAUGCUGCUCAGGUUUUUAAAUAUGGAUGACUACGGUAUAUAUUAUAUAGCUUCUCUUACAUGUAUGAUAAACAGGGUGUCCAUAAGGUUCGUGGGCAAUUUACAAUGUAAAACUAUUUUCCUUAUUUAUAAUAU